Molecule: long non-coding RNA, 22148 nt
Filed under: Ananas comosus (pineapple)
Lineage: Eukaryota; Viridiplantae; Streptophyta; Magnoliopsida; Poales; Bromeliaceae
Description: long non-coding RNA (ACOM_LNC017788)
Source: RNAcentral
UAGUGAGGAUCGCGGCAAGAGCGUAGCGCCCUAGUGAUAUUAGUAGAGGUUUACUUUCCUUUAUGCAUUAGCUACACCCUGUACCUAUUUUGAAAGUAGAUGAUGUAUAGGGUGAGGAUUUUAAAGUGAUUGUACAUAUACUCUGGAAGAAUGUAAAAGAUGAAAUAAUUGUAUAAAGUUUAAUGAGUUAAUAGUUAAGUAUAUCUAUCUUUAUCACUUGUAUGCUUUACAUAUGUUGCUUGCUCUUGAUUGAUAGGCACUGUUUGUGCUCUCGUGGUUGUUGUAUGAUUGUGUAUGUAUUCAAGUUGUUUUCCUGGGAACUUGUUGUACACAAUCUAGCCGUUGGAGCCUUUGUCACGACCCAAGCUCCGCCAAUUUGGUCGGAUUCGAGCACGCGACAGACGCCGAACAGACAGUACCUCCCCUGUCCGCCCAAGGCUCCAACAACAAGUAUAAUGCAAGCAAAACCUCAAGGAGAAUUGCGAGAUAUACAAGGUUUGCACGAGAGAAAACAACAACUACAGUGAAAGCAUCGAAACUAAUUAAACAUCCAAUAUACAUGUCAUUUGAUUACAUUUGAAUCAAACACAAGUAGUUCAACACAUUUACAUUCAUUACAUUAUUUCUUGCAUUACCCAAAAUAAAAUUUACAUUACAUUGCUUUUACCUUACAAUUUCAACAUAGAAAAGUUGAAUACAUCAAGAGUAUGGUAUGCCUAUGUAACUCCGGGGUCGCUAUCUACGGCGCAACUCCCUUGCCUCGAUCCUCCGCCGCCCCGCUCGCGUACAGAUCUGCAGGGUUAGUGGUAAUGAGAACUAGAACGAAGUUCCCAGUGGGUUCGGCCACCGACCACGCCGAUUCGCCCACUAGGUCUAUUCAGGCAUAUGUAUUUCAAUAAAGAAGAAUAACAAACCAACUAAUGUACUUCUAAUACAAUGCCUGUAAGAAACAAUUCAUAGAUAGAUAUUCAUAUUCAAAUACAUGAUUACUAUGCAUGCAUGUCCUUUUUCACUUUCCUUUGGCCUUUACCCAAUUCAACCUGGGGUGCUCCUGGUUUACCCCAACUCACAGUCCACAUAUCCAUCUAAUGGGGGAGGCACAAGGCACUACCACCCGAAGGAUCUUCGCCGGGUACGUCCACCCGUGGUGCAUUUCUUCUCCGGAGUACACCGCUCGUGGAGGAGCGACCUCACACAAGCCGGAACCAAUACAUGUGAGUAUGAUCCCAUCCUCAAAUUUUGAGGAGGUAUGGCCAACCUGUCACAAUUCUCACUGUCUCAAUGUCGCUGAAUGGUUAUUACCUAUUCAUGCACAUACUGUCACUUGCCAAUGUCACGGUGGUCCUGAUGCCACAACACACAAUGUCACUUGGGUUAAACCUUGUUUAACUAUUCACUUAUCGAUGUCAAUCAAGUCACUAAUGUCCAUGUUGCCUUUGUUUACUACGGUCACGGUCAUUUCUUACAUUCACAUGCAUAUAGGGUCUUUCACUAUCUUUGUUCACAUGGAUCUAUAUCAUUACAAUAAUCUUACGCAGAUAAUUGUCACAACCAAUAUAUACUAUUCAUUACCCUACAUGCAAGAAUGCUAUAUAUCAACAUGCUCAAAAAGGGACAUAGACAUAGAAAGAGAUCCGGUAUUUCCGGAUAGCACCCCCCACCUUUAUGUGUCACAAGGAUACCACGGUUCCGAUUCCACGAUUUUUAGACUUGUUCGCCGCGAGCAACGACGAUCUGUACUAUUUCUGCUUCUUUUUCCAAUAUCUUCACGCACGCUCGUCGUAUCGCCGAACCGAGUGCACCAAUGCAUUUGUAGACCUACCAAUUAGGUUAAAAUGAAAUCAAAACCAAGUUUGAACUUCAAAAUCACAAAACCCUAAAUAUGGGUCCUUCACAACAUCACCUUCUCCAAUCAAGCCCCUAGCUUGACAAAACAUGGAGGAAAAGCCACCAUAGACCUCUCUAGAUGCUUCAACUAGAAGCAAAAAAUCCAAACCUAGCUCAAACUCAUAAGAACUCACCUUUGGAGUCCAAAGCUUCCCUUCAAAAGCCUUCCCUAGCUUGCUCUUCACCUUGGAGAGCUUCUUCUCCAAGCUUUUCUCCUCCAAACCCUCCUUGGUCCAAGCCCUAGAGAGAGAGGGAGAGAGAGAGGAGAGGUUUUUAGAGAGAGAGAGGGAAAGGUUUAUGUUGAGGUGUGAGGAAAUGAGAGCUAACCCUAACCCUUAGCUCUAUACAACCAUCUAAUUCAACAUUUGCACUUAAACCCCUCUCAAUUUCAUAUUUGCAAACAGCCCUCACUGGGCACUUUCGGGCUCGGGGACCGGUCUCUCCCCUUCAGGGACCGGUUCCCGAGAGCUGUCCUGCAACCUGCGCAGAAGGGGACCGUUCUCUCCCCGAUGAAACCGGUCUCGGGGGACCGGUCUCUCACCUAGGGACCGGUUCCCGAGAGCUCAGUUUCCAGGACUUAGCCGAUUUUUUCCUCUACUCGGUUUACCAACAUUCGGGAACCGGUCUCUCACCGAAGGGACCGGUCCCCUAGAGUAAAAUUCUGGAAAUUUUCCAGAAUUGCAGUUUCACUCUCUCGGAUCCCUUUAUACUUUAUAUAUAGGCUCCAAUUCACUUUUAGCCUAUAGUAACUCAUUCCUUUCUGCGCUCCGCUCGUUUUGACGGGACUCGACUCAACCUACGGGGUAGUGAUACGUUACAUUCCCCACCCCUUAAAAUUAUUUCGGCCGCGAAACUAAUUCACUCGUAAUUCAACAUCCAUACCUCAUCUUAGUUCCUCGAAGAGAUGAGGAUGACGUUCCUUCAUCACGUCCUCAAGCUCCCACGUUUCUUCUCUAUCGCCGUGUUCGCUCCAAUGGAUCUUAACAUACGAAAUUUCUCGAUUCCGUAGCUUUCGCACCUCCCGAUCAACAAUGUACGCCGGGAACUCCUCGUAGGCCAUGUCCUCUUGAAGUUCUGUCGGUAUAUACGAGAGAACAUGCUCCGGAUCGUGAACAUACUUGGGGAGAUUAGACACAUGGAACACAUCGUGCACCCCCGCAAGCCUCGGCGGUAAUGCUACUCUGUAGGCCACCGCGCCAACUCUUUCUAAGAUCUCGAAGGGUUCGACAAAUCGGGGACUUAACUUUCCCCGGACACCAAACCUCUUAACACCGCGCAUCGGCGAUACCUUCAGAAACACGCAGUCUCCAACCGCGAACUCGAUGUCCUUCCUUCGCUUAUCGGCAUAGCUCUUGUGCCUUGAUUGCGCCGUCACUAACCUUUGCCGGGCAAGACGAACUUUCUCCUAUGCCUCCCGAACAACUUCUGGGCCAAGAACAACUUUCUCGCCCACCUCGCUCUAAUGAAUUGGCUAGCGACACUUCCUUCCAUAUAGAGCUUCGAAUGGCGCCAUUGCAAUACUUUCUUGAUAGCUAUUGUUGUAUGCAAAUUCCGCCAUCGAUAAGUAAUCGUGCCACUCUCCACGAUAGUCAAGCACACAUGCUUGCAACAUGUCCUCGAGUAUCUGAAUGGUCCUCUUAGAUUGUCCAUCACUCUGAGGAUGAAACGCCGUGCUAAAAUCGAGCCGCGUGCCUAGAGUAUCUUGCAAGCUCCUCCAGAAAUGAGAAGUGAACCGAGGAUCUCGAUCUAAUACGAUCGACAUGGGAACCCCAUGUAGUCUCACUAUCUCGUCCAAGUGAACCUGGGCCAACUUAUCUCCUGACCACGUGGUGUGGAUCGGCAAAAAAGUGAGCCGAUUUCGUCAAAAGGUCCACAACCACCCAUAUGGCGUCAUGUCCAGCCUGCGAUCGGGGCAGCCCGACCACAAAGUCCAUCGCGACAUUCUCCCACUUCCACACGGGGAUCGGUAAGCUUUGCAGCUUCCCCGUGGAAAAACGACACUCGACUUUUACUUGUUGGCACGUCAAACAUUGCGCCACGAAUUCUCCGAUGUCCUUCUUCAUACCCGGCCACCAAUAAUGCAACUUUAAAUCCUUGUACAUCUUAGUGCCGCCCGGGUGAAUACUAUACGAGGAAUGAUGCGCCUCUUGCAACACCAUCUUACGAAUCUCAUCGUCCUUGGGUACGCACAAUCAGUUCCUGAAUCUAAGUGCACCAUCGGCUCCCACGCCGAAAUCACCGGCGCGCCCAUCACUAACAUCGUUCCACACCUUUUGGAGAUACGGAUCAUCAACUUACCGCUCCUUGAUUUGCUCCAACAAGGUCGGUCGAACUAUUAGUGCCGCCAAGAUAGUCGGAACUUCCGGCGCCACUACCUCCAAUCCAAACCACUGCAUUUCCUUAUGUAAUGCCGGCUGAUUUGUAAUCGUCGUCGCCAAGUUCUCAGCAAAUUUCCUACUCAGCGCAUCGGCCACCACGUUGGCUUUACCGGGGUGGUAUAGGAUAGUAAGAUCAUAAUCCUUUAUCAAUUCCAGCCAACGCCGCUGCCACAUAUUCAACUCUUUCUGGGUGAACAAAUACUUGAGGCUUUUGUGAUCGGUAUAUACCUCACAAUGCUCACCAUAUAGAUAAUGCCUCCAAAGCAUCAGCGCGAAAAUGACCGCCGCAAGCUCAAGAUCGUGGGUCGGGUAGUUCUUCUCGUAGCCUUUCAACUAGCGCGAAACAUACGCAAUGACUCGCCCAUUUUGCAUAAGAACACACCCAAGAUCGGUGUAAGAAGCAUCACUAUACACCAUGAAGCUCUCUCCCGGCGUUGGCAAAGCAAGUACCGGAGUAGACGUCAACUUCUUCUUCAACUCUUGGAAGCUUCGGUCGCAACCUUCGCUCCAAUCAAACCUUACUCCUUUGUUCGUAAGGUGUGUGGGAGGAGUGGUCAACUUCGCAAACCCCUCAACAAAACGCCUAUAAUAGCCCGCCAAUCCAAGAAAACUGCGGACUUCCGCCACGCUCGUAGGAUGGGGCCAAUCUCGAAUCGCCUCAAUCUUCCUCGGGUCCACCGAGAUCCCGCUCCCGAAUAUCACAUGACCUAAAAAGGUCACCUCCGGAAGCCAGAAUUUGCAUUUCUUGAGUUUAGCAUAAAGCUUCUCAUCUCGGAGUAUUUGCAACACGGUCCUUAGAUGUUCCUCGUGCUCUUCUUCACUCCGCGAAUACACCAACACGUCGUCGAUAAACACCACGACGCACUUAUCCAACAAUGGUCGAAAGACCCUAUUCAUCAAGUCCAUAAACGCUGUCGGGGCAUUGGUAAGCCCAAACGGCAUCACCGUAAACUCAUAAUGGCCAUACCGCGUACGGUACGCCGUUUUAUGCAGGUCUUUCGGUCGGAUUUUCAACUGAUGAUAUCCCGACUGAAGAUCUAUCUUCGAGUAUACCCGCAACCCCUGCAACUGAUCGAACAGGUCAUCUAUUCUUGGUAACGGGUACUUGUUCUUGAUUGUCACCUUGUUCAACUCGCGAUAAUCAACGCAGAGUCGAAGGGUGCCGUCCUUCUUCUUCACAAACAAUACUGGUGCUCCCCAGGGGGACACACUUGGCUUCACGAAACCUUUAUAAAGUAGGUCCUGCAACUGGGCCUUUAACUCUUUAAGCUCCACCGGUGCCAUUCUAUACGGAGCCUUUGAAACUGGCGCCGCACCGGAAAUCAAGUCAAUGUCGAACUCGACUUCCCGAUUUGGUGGUAGUCCCGGUAACUCUACAGGAAAUACGUCCGGGUAUUCACACACUACCCGAAUGUUCCCCAACUCCGGGCGCUCUUUUUGAGGGUCCACGAUGGUCGCCAAGUAAGCCUUGCAACCACCCUUGAUCAUCCUUUUCGCCCUCACCGUCGAUAUAGUCACCGCAAAACGCACGCCCUUACACGCUCGAUACUCAAACUCGUCUUGACCAGGCUCGCGAAAAGUGAUCACUCUACUGUCACAAUCGAUGCUGGCAUAGUACUUGGAGAGCCAAUUAACUCCCAAGAUAACAUCAAUGCCCCACAUCUGCUUAAGUACUAGCAAAUCCACCGGCAUAAUCCAGUCGCCGAUUUGAACCGGACAUGCUAGGCACUCGUCGUGGACUCUAAACGAGUGUUCCGGUGCGUUAACCCACCAAUAGUCAUAACUAUGUUCUAUGUCCAUGCCAUGUGUCUUAGCAAACGAGACAUCAAUGAAUGAAUGCGAUGCGCCCGUGUCAAAUAGCGCUCUUGCUCUAACACCAUUAAUCAAAAUAAUACCUGCCAUGACGUCGUCAGGUACGGCAGGCUGCUCCUCCACCUGAGUAGCGAAAACCCGUCCACUCCGUGCACGUGAUCCCUCCGGCUCUCGCGGUGAUGAAGCGCACCCAGCCGACAUGGCAGGUGGCAGUCCUGCGAGCUGUCGUGGAGCAUACUGAGCCGAAGCAGCUGACGAAGCCGGUGACGCGCCGCCCGGGCAAUCCCAUCUCAUGUGCCCCGCUUGGCCGCAUCGGAAACAUCUCCCGUCACGCUGAGGACAUUCACUCGGCCUAUGAUUCCCACCGCAAAUUACGCAUGGGUAGGAACUCAUCUGACUCCUUGUCUGGCUCCUAUCUCGCCGCCACUGCGAUCUAGGGUGCCGAGGGGGUCGCUUGGAACUCGACUGCCCCGCGGAACCACCAUCCGAUCACUUCUUAGACUUCUCCCUGUCCUUGUCCCUUUCAAACGCCUCGCGUUCCUCACGCGCAAUGGCGUUACCGCGCUCUAUCCAUAGCGCACGAUCAAGCACCUCUUCAUAGGUCUUCAGCCGAAGCGCCUGAACCAUCUUGAAUAUCUCCGGCCGCAACCCGCGCUCGAAGACCUCCGCCGGAUCUCGGUCACUAUGAACCAAGCCGGGAACGCAGUUAACCAUGUGCGAGAAUUCCCUUUCAUAUUCCCGCACCGUUUGGCUUCCCUGCCUCAACUUGCAAAAGUCCUCCUUGAUCUUCCGUUUGUCACUUUCCGGAAAGUACUCCAUUAGCAGAAUCUCCCGGAACGCCUCCCAAGUCAUAGUAGCCGGAUCCAAGGACCGACCACCCUUCACUCUCGUCCACCACGAUCGAGCCGGCCCCUCUAAACAGUGAGCCGCCAACCGAACCUUGUCCUUCUCGAGGGUGUAGAUGUCCUCGAAUAACGCCUCCAUCGUAGAAAGCCACGCCUCCAUCAACCAUGGGUCUUUCACAUCACCCACAAAGGUCGGAGGAUUAAACCGUUUGAAGGCCGUCAACACCGCCAACGACCGCUCCCGCUCGGCUUCAAGUACCUCCGGAAUAGGAGCCGAAGAACCUAAAGCUGUCGGAGGAAUAGCCGUCACCGGUGCCGCCGCCAUCGGCGCAGGUGAUAUAGGUGCAGGCGGGUCCUGAGGUACAGGUGCAGCCGCCGCCGCCUGUCGAGCCACCAACUCAUGGAGCUGUCCCAUUUGCUCCCCUUGCUGUCGCAUAGCCCCAGCCAAAGCUGCUACUUGGGCCCGCAACUCGCGAACUUCAUUAGAUCCAACCUGCUCUGGCACCUCAUCAGGCAAUGCCGGAGCGGUCCGUCGGGUAUAGCGUCUCGGUGACAUCUGUCCUGAAACGAAAUGCACACGUUAAUACUCGACAUUCAAGACUCUUACUCGUUUCCAAACAUCUACCCAAUCAAGCGAAAGCAAUCAAGUACGUUCACUUUCUACUCUCGGCAUUAUGUAGUCCUCCGCCCCACAUAAUACCUUGAAAGAAAACAACCGUCCCUUAAGUCCAUCUCUAUUUCCGUUUAGAGAAGUUCCAUAAGAACCCAAUCCAUUAGCCUUCGCAUAUCCAAGUCCACGUUAUACGUGUCUUAAUUCCUAAGGUCUCCGAUCCUAAGGUCCCUAAGUCCAUCCUAGACUUUUGCUUUCACAUUGCUCUGAUACCACCCUAUCUGUCACGCCCCAAGCUCCGCCAAUUUUGUCGGAUUCGAGCACGCAACAGACGCCGAACGGACAGUACCUCCCAUGUCCGCCCAAGGCUCCAACAACAAGUAUAAUGCAAGCAAAACCUCAAGGAGAAUUGUGAGAUAUACAAGCUUUGCACGAGGGCAAACAACAACUACAGUGAAAGCAUCGAAACUAAUUAAACAUCCAAUAUACAUGUCAUUUGAUUACAUUUGAAUCAAACACAAGUAGUUUAACACAUUUACAUUCAUUACAUUAUUUCUUGCAUUACCCAAAAUAAAAUUUACAUUAUAUCGGUUUUACCUUACAAUUUCAACAUAGAAAAGUUGAAUACAUCAAGAGUAGGGGAUGCCUAUGUAACUCCGGGGUCGCUAUCUACGGCGCGACUCCCUUGCCUCAAUCCUCUGCUGCCCCGCUCGUGUACGGAUCUGCAGGGUUAGUGGUAAUGAGAACUAGAACGAAGUUCCCAGUGGGUUCGGCCGCCGACCACGUCGAUUUGCCCACUAGGUCUAAUUCAGGCAUAUGUAUUUCAAUAAAGAAGAAUAACAAACCAACUAAUGUACUUCUAAUACAAUGCCUGCAAGAAACAAUUCAUAGAUAGAUAUUCAUAUUCAAAUACAUGAUUACUAUGCAUGCAUGUCCUUUUUCACUUUCCUUUGGCCGUUACCCAAUUCAACCUGGGGUGCUCCUGGUUUACCCCAAUUCACAGUCCACAUAUCCAUCUAACGGGGGAGGCAUAAGGCACUACCACCCGAAGGAUCUUCGCCGGGUAUGUCCACCCGUGGUGCAUUUCUUCUCCGAAAUACACCGCUCGUGGAGGAGAGACCUCACACAAGCCUGAACCAAUACAUGUGAGUAUGAUCCCAUCCUCAAAUUUUGAGGAGGUAUGGCUAACCUGUCACAAUUCUCACUGUCUCAAUGCCGCUGAAUGGUUAUUACCUAUUCAUGCACAUACUGUCACUUGCCAAUGUCACGGUGGUCCUGAUCCCACAACACAUAAUGUCACUUGGGUUAAACCUUGUUUAACUAUUCACUUAACGAUGUCAAUCAAGUCACUAAUGUCCAUGUUGCCUUUGUUUACUACGCUCACGGUCAUUUCUUACAUUCACAUGCAUAUAGGGUCUUUCACUAUCUUUCUUCACAUGGAUCUAUAUCAUUACAAUAAUCUUACGCAGAUAAUUGUCACAACCAACAUAUACUAUUCAUUACCCUACAUGCAAGAAUGCUAUAUAUCAACAUGCUCAAAAAGGGACAUAGACAUAGAAAGAGAUCUGGUGUUUUCGUAUAGCACCCCCCACCUUUAUGUGUCACAAAGAUGCCACGGUUCCGAUUCCACGAUUUUUAGACUUGUUCGCCGCGAGCAACGACGAUCUGUACUAUUUCUGCUUCUUUUUCCAAUAUCUUCGCGCACGCUCGUCGUAUCGCCGAACCGAGCGCACCGAUGCGUUUGUAGACCUACCAAUUAGGUUAAAAUGAGAUCACAACCAAGUUUGAAUCUCAAAAUCACAAAACCCUAAAUAUGGGUCCUUCACAACAUCACCUUCUCCAAUCAAGCCCCUAGCUUGACAAAACAUGGAGGAAAAGCCACCAUAGACCUCUCUAGAUGCUUCAACUAGAAGCAAAAAACCCAAACCUAGCUCAAACUCAUAAGAACUCACCUUUGGAGUCCAAAGCUUCCCUUUAAAAGCCUUCCCUAGCUUGCUCUUCACCUUGGAGAGCUUCUUCUCCAAGCUUUUCUCCUCCAAACCCUCCUUGGUCCAAGCCCUAGAGAGAGAGGGAGAGAGAGAGGAGAGGUUUUUAGAGAGAGAGAGGAAAAUGUUUAUGUUGAGGUGUGAGUAAAUGAGAGCUAACCCUAACCCUUAGCUCUAUACAACCAUCUCAUGCAACAUUUGCACUUAAACCCCUCUCAAUUUCAUAUUCGCAAACAGCCCUCAAUGGGCACUUUCGGGCUCGGGGACCGGUCUCUCCCCUUCAGGGACCGGUUCCCGAGAGCUGUCCUGCAACCUGCGCAGAAGGGGACCGGUCUCUCCCCGAUGAAACCGGUCUCCGGGGACCGGUCUCUCACCUAGGGACCGGUUCCCGAGAGCUCAGUUUCCAGGACUUAGCCGAUUUUUCCCUCUGCUCGGUUUACCAACGUUCGGGAACCGGUAUCUCACCCAAGGGACCGGACCCCGAGAGUAAAAUUCUGGGAAUUUUCCAGAAUUGCAGUUUCACUCUCUCGGGUCCCUUUAUACUUUAUAUAUAGGCUCCAAUUCACUUUUAGCCUAUAGUAACUCAUUCCUUUCCGUGUUCCGCUCGUUUUGACGGGACUCGGCUCAACCUACGGGGUAGUGAUACGUUACAUUCCCCACCCCUUAAAAUUGUUUCGGCCGCGAAACUAAUUCAAUCGUAAUUCAACAUCCAUACCUCAUCUUAGUUCCUCGAAGAGAUGAGGAUGACGUUCCUUUAUCACGUCCUCAAGCUCCCACGUUUCUUCUCUAUCGCCGUGUUCGCUCCAAUGGAUCUUAAGAUACGGAAUUUCUCGAUUCGGUAGCUUUCGCACCUCCCGAUCAAAAAUGUACGCCGGGAACUCCUCGUAGGUCAUAUCCUCUUGAUGUUCUGUCGGUAUAUACGAGAGAACAUGCUCCGGAUCGUGAACAUACCUGGGGAGAUUAGACACAUGGAACACAUCGUGCACCCCCGCAAGCCUCGGCGGUAAUGCUACUCUGUAGGCCACCGCGCCAACUCUUUCUAAGAUCUCGAAGGGUCCGACAAAUCGGGGACUUAACUUUCCCCGGACACCAAACCUCUUAACACCGCGCAUCGGCGAUACCUUCAGAAACACGCGGUCUCCAACCGCGAACUCGAUGUCCUUCCUUCGCUUAUCGGCAUAGCUCUUGUGCCUUGAUUGCGCCGUCACUAACCUUUGCCGGGCAAGACGAACUUUCUCCUCCGCCUCCCGAACAACUUCUGGGCCAAGAACAACUUUCUCGCCUACCUCGCUCCAAUGAAUUGGCGAGCGACACUUCCUUCCAUAUAGGGCUUCGAAUGACGCCAUUGUAAUACUUUCUUGAUAGCUAUUGUUGUAUGUAAAUUCCGCCAUCGAUAAGUAAUCGUGCCACCCUCCACGAUAGUCAAGGACACAUGCUCGCAACAUGUCCUCGAGUAUCUGAAUGGUCCUCUCAGAUUGUCCAUCACUCUGAGGAUGAAACGCCGUGCUAAAAUCGAGCCGCGUGCCUAGAGCAUCCUGCAAGCUCCUCCAUAAAUGAGAAGUGAACCGAGGAUCUCGAUCUGAUACGAUCGACACGGGAACCCCAUGUAGUCUCACUAUCUCAUCCAAGUAAACCUGGGCCAACUUAUCUCCUGACCACGUGGUGUGGAUCGGCAAAAAGUGAGCCAAUUUCGUCAAACGGUCCACAACCACCCAUAUGGCGUCAUGUCCAGCCUGCGAUCGGGGCAGCCCGACCACAAAGUCCAUCGCGACAUUCUCCCACUUCCAUACGGGGAUCAGUAAGCUUUGCAGCUUCCCCGCGGGAAAACGACGCUCGGCUUUUACUUGUUGGCACGUCAAACAUUGCGCCACGAAUUCUCCGAUGUCCUUCUUCAUACCCGGCCACCAAUAAUGCAACUUUAAAUCCUUGUACAUCUUAGUGCCGCCCGGGUGAAUACUAUACGGGAAAUGAUGCGCCUCUUGCAACACCAUCUUACGAAUCUCAUCGUCCUUGGGUACGCACAAUCGGUUCCUAAACCUAAGUGCACCAUCGGCUCCCACGCCGAAAUCACCGGCGCGCCCAUCACUAACAUUGUUCCGCACCUUUUGGAGAUACGGAUCAUCAACUUGCCGCUCCUUGAUUUGCUCCAACAAGGUCGGUCGAACUAUUAGUGCCGCCAAGAUAGUCGGAACUUCCGGCGCCACUACCUCCAAUCCAAAUCGCUGCAUUUCCUUAUGUAAUGCCGGCUGAUUUGUAAUCGCCGUCGCCAAGUUCUCAGCAGAUUUCCUACUCAGCGCAUCGGCCACCACGUUGGCUUUACCGGGGUGGUACAGGAUAGUUAGAUCAUAAUCCUUUAUCAAUUCCAGCCAACGCCGCUGCCACAUAUUCAACUCUUUCUGGGUGAACAAAUACUUGAGGCUUUUGUGAUCGGUAUAUACCUCACAAUGCUCACCAUAUAGAUAAUGCCUCCAAAGCUUCAGCGCGAAAACAACCGCCGCAAGCUCAAGAUCGUGGGUCGGGUAGUUCUUCUCGUAGCCUUUCAGCUGGCGCGAAGCAUACGCAAUGACUCGCCCAUUUUGCAUAAGAACACACCGUAGACCGGUGUAGGAAGCAUCACUAUACACCACGAAGCUCUCUCCCGGCGUUGGCAAAGCAAGUACCGGAGUAGACGUCAACUUCUUCUUCAACUCUUGGAAGCUUCGGUCGCAACCUUCGCUCCAAUCAAUCCUUACUCCUUUGUGAGUAAGGCGUGUGAGAGGAGUGGUCAACUUCGCAAACCCCUCAACAAAACGCCUAUAAUAGCCCGCCAAUCCAAGAAAACUGUGGACUUCCGCCACGCUCGUAGGAUGGGGCCAAUCUCGAAUCGCCUCUAUCUUCCUUGGGUCCACCGAGAUCCCACUCCCGGAUAUCACAUGGCCUAAGAAGGUCACCUCCGAAAGCCAGAAUUCGCAUUUCUUGAGUUUAGCAUAAAGGUUCUCAUCUCGGAUUAUUUGCAACACCAUCUUACGAAUCUCAUCGUCCUUAGGUACGCACAAUCGGUUCCUGAAUCUAAGUGCACCAUCGGCUCCCACGCCGAAAUCAGCGGCGCGCCCAUCACUAACAUUGUUCCGCACCUUUUAGAGAUACGGAUCAUCAACUUGCCGCUCCUUGAUUUGCUCCAACAAGGUCGGUCGAACUAUUAGUGCCGCCAAGAUAGUCGGAACUUCCGGCGCCACUACCUCCAAUCCAAACCGCUACAUUUCCUUAUGUAAUGCCGGGAGUUCACACAUCUUCUGAACUGCGUCCCGGACGUGGCGACGACGGAGCAAGAUCCAGCAGAUUACUUCGUGAGAGGACUCCGACCCGGCGUGUUUCGUAUGGUGCAUGCCUUCAAGUUUCAUACUUUCACGGAGGCUUUGGACCGUGCCUUAUGGGUCAAGCACGGGAAUGCCUGCGAGCAUGAGGACCGUGAGGUGUUCGAGAAGGAUAAGGGGAAGAAGCGACCGGGCGGUGGUUCGGGGGGACAAUCGAGUUCCAAAAGGCCCCCGAAAUAUCCACGAUCACAACCGAAGGGCCGCGGAGCGCAACGGUGUAUCUUUUGCGGCGGUGACCACCGACCCAGUAUCUGUGAUCAGCGCCGAGGAAAGUGCUUUAGAUGCAGGCAAGCAGGGCACAUCACACGCGACUGCCCUCAAGGAGGGGCUUUAUCUGCUCUAUCUGUUGCAUCAGCCCCGACAAUUUCGGCUCGUUAUGCAAUGCCACCUGCUGCGGCGUCGGCUGGACGUGCGGCGGCACCACGUCAACCUGAACCAGCACGAUCGUCUCCGAGCGGAAGGAUGUAUGCCACUCAAGUGCAAGAAGAGGAGCCCACCGAAGCCGAGGAGCGCAAUGUGGUAGCAGGUAUGGUGUUGGUUCAUGGUGUUCGAGCAAGAGCUCUUUUUGAUACUGGCGCCUCUCACUCGUUCAUUAACCGGUCGUUUGCACAAGUACAUGACAUUGAGAUUAGUCUCGGGGAGAAUGUGUGGCGUGUAGAAGGACCCGGACGAUCAUUCCUUGUUAGGAAGCGCUGUUUGGCAUGCCCAAUACAAGUAGGCGACUGGAUUAUGCCGGUCGACCUGUUGGUGCUAAAGAGGUUGAAAGAGUUCGACGUUAUAUUGGGCAUGGACUGGCUCUCGAAGUAUUAUGUGUCUAUUGACUGUAAGACUAGAGUGAUCACAUUUCGGGAGCCGGGACACGAGGAGUUCACGUAUCGAGUUUGCAAGAGUUCGUGCUUCACCGCGACGGUGUCGGCGACAAGAGCGAGGAAGCUAGUUAAUAGCGGUUGUACGGCUUACUUGGCGACCGUUAUGGAAGUUGACCGAGUGGUGCCGGCUCUAGAAGAGUUAGAGGUUGUGCGAGAGUUUCCGGACGUGUUUCCUACGGAGUUACCGGGGAUGCCGCCGGACCGGGAAAUUGAGUUUAUGAUAGACUUGCUUCCCGGGACCGCGCCGAUAUCCAAGGCCCCGUAUUGCAUGGCGCCGGCUGAGUUAAGGGAGUUGAGGGAUCAGUUGCAGGACCUCCUCGACAAGGAGUUCAUUAGGCCGAGCAUGUCACCGUGGGGAGCCCCAGUAUUGUUUGUGCACAAGAAGGAUGGAUCUUUUCGACUUUGCGUGGAUUACCGCGAGUUGAAUAAGGUCACUGUGAAGAACAAGUACCCGUUACCCCGUUACCCCGCAUCGACGACUUGUUUGAUCAAUUAUAGGGGUCGCGAGUGUACUCGAAGAUUGACCUCCAAUCCGGCUACCAUCAAUUGAAGAUUAAGUCGGAGGAUGUUCCGAAGACCGCGUUCUGCACGCGGUAUGGACACUACGAGUUCACCGUGAUGCCGUUUGGGCUUACAAAUGCCCCGGCCGCGUUCAUGAGCUUGAUGAACCGAGUGUUCAGGCAGUGCUUAGACCGAUUUGUCGUAGUUUUUAUAGACGACAUCUUGGUCUAUUCGCGCGAUGAAGAGGAGCACGCAGAGCAUUUGCGCACCGUACUUCAAAUCCUUCGGGAGAAGAAGUUGUACGCAAAGUUGAAGAAGUGUGACUUCUGGCUCCGGGAAGUUACUUUUCUCGGGCAUGUUGUUUCCGAGGGCGGUGUUUCUGUUGACCCGAGAAAAAUAGAGGCUAUUGAGAAUUGGCCGCGCCCGACGAAUGUCGCUGAGGUCCGAAGUUUUGUGGGCCUAGCACGUUAUUACCGACGGUUUGUGGAGGGCUUCUCGAAGAUCGUGACUCCACUCACCCGUCUGACGCAGAAGGGCGAAGAUCGUGACUCCACUCACCCGUCUGACGCAGAAGGGCACCCGAUUUAUUUGGAGCGACGAGUAUGACCGGAGUUUUAAAGAGUUGAAGGAGAGGUUAACUUCAACUCCGGUACUCGCCUUACCGGUGCAGGGUGACGAUUAUGUAGUGUAUAGCGACGCAUCCUAUCUGGGUCUGGGGUGUGUACUGAUGCAAGGCGGGAGGGUCAUUGCUUAUGCAUCCCGUCAGUUGAAAAGCUACGAGAAGAACUACCCCAUACAUGAUUUGGAAUUGGCGGCGGUGGUCUUUGCUCUGAAGCUUUGGAGACACUAUCUGUAUGGUGCUCAUUGCGAGAUCUACACCGACCAUAAGAGUUUGAAAUACUUGUUUACCCAGAAGGAGCUGAACAUGCGGCAACGGCGGUGGUUAGAAUUGCUUAAGGAUUGCGAUGUUGAUAUCCUUUACCACCCCGGGAAAGCGAAUGUAGUCGCAGACGCGCAUAGUCGGAAGUCGGCGGAGAACCUCGCUUUAUGGGUUACAAGCCAGACGCCCCCGCAGUUGCAAAUGGGGAAGAUGGAUCUCGAGGUGGUGGCUCCGAAAAUUUCGGCUAGGUUGACGACGUUGGUGGUCCAACCGACCUUAUUGGAGAGGAUCAAGAAUCUACAGUCGGCGGACCCGAAGCUCCAGAAGGUGCGGCACCAUGUUGAAAGUGGCCGUGGCGGAGAUUUCAGCAUGGAUGCAAGUGGUGCAGUACGGUUUCGAAACCGGUGGUGUGUGCCAAAUGACGAGGAGCUUCGCAAGUUGAUUUUGCAAGAAGCGCAUUGGUCACCUUAUGUCGACCACCCGGGCGGCACCAAGAUGUUUCACGAGCUGAAGACACUAUAUUGGUGGCCGGGAAUGAAGACUGAUAUUGGGCGCUUCGUGGCGAAGUGUUUAGUAUGCUAACAAGUGAAGGCGGAGCGUCGAUUUCCAGCGGGGAAAUUUCAGAGUUUAUCUAUUCCCGUCUGAAAAUAGGAUGACAUAUCGAUGGACUUCAUCGUUGGCUUACCUCGUUCGACAGGUGGCCACGACGCAAUUUGGGUGAUUGUGGAUUGUUUGACGAAAUCAGCGCACUUUCUGCCGAUCCACAACACUUGGGCAGGUGAGAAGCUAGCGCAGGUGUAUCUUGAUGAGAUUGUGAGGCUACAUGGGGUGCCGAAGUCGAUUGUAUCAGAUCGAGACCCCAAGUUCACUUCACACUUUUGGAGAAGCCUGCAGGAAGCCCUUGGCACGCGACUCGAGUUCAGUACCGCCUUUCAUCCUUAGACUGAUGGACAGACAGAGAGAACCAUUCAGACCCUGGAGGAUAUAUUGCGGGCGUGUGCCAUUGAUUACAAGGGGAAUUGGUGUAACACCUGCCGAUGGCCGAAUUCGCCUACAACAACAGCUGUCACGCGAGUGUGGGGAUGGCACCAUUCGAGGCUCUUUAUGGGCGGAAGUGCCGAUCUCCCAUUCAUUGAAGUGAUGUGGGCGAGCGGGCAGAGUUCGGUCCAGACGUGUUGCGAGAAGCGGAGGAGAAAGUCCACCUUGCUCGCAAGAGAUUGCUUACGGCGCAAUCUCGACAGAAGAGUUAUUCGGAUAAGCGCCGUAGAGACUUAGAAUUCGCGGUGGGUGACCGCGUGUUCUUGAAAGUUUCGCUGAUGAGAGGCGUGAAAAGGUUUGGGGUGCGAGGAAAGUUGAGUCAUCGUUAUGUUGGCCCUUAUGAGAUUUUGGAGCGGAUUGGGACGGUGGCUUACCGGCUUGCGUUGCCACCCAAGCUUGCGGGUGUGCACAAUGUAUUCCACGUCUCCAAUCUCCGCAAGUAUGUGCAUGACCCUGAGCACGUCUUGGUCUACGAGCCACCGGAAUUACAGGAAGAUAUGAGUUACGAAGAGUUUCAGGUGGAGAUCCUAGCUCGAGAAGUACGCAAGUUGAGAAGUCGCGAAAUUCCUUAUGUUCGAGUCCGGUGGAGCAAUCAUGGCGAUCGCGAAGCCACCUGGGAGCUCGAGGAGGAGAUGAAAGCGAAUCAUCCUCACUUAUUUGAAGGUUGAGCUGAGGUAUGGAUCUAGAGUUUAAAUUCUGGAUGAAUUUAGUAUCGUUGAGUUCGUUUUGAGGACGAAACUCUUUUAAGGUGGGGAGAAUGUAAGGAAAGUGAAUUCUCGAAAUCCGGGGAUUAGACUUCGUUGGGAAUCGACUGAUUGUCGAGUGUGUAAGCUUCGGAAAGUCCGAAGGUAGUAGUAAUGCGUAAAGUGCAUUAAGGAAAGGUCCGCGAGAGCACCAGUGCAAAAGCUGCACUGGAGCAGAAAUGCUCUCGGGGACCGGUCCCUGGCGAGGAGGGACCGGUCCCAUUGGGCUGGGCUGCGGGGGUCUUUGAUGAGACCGGUCCCUGGCAGGUAGGGACCAGUUCCCGAAUGUUAGCCCAGCGAGAAUUAGCCGAAAUUUGGCUAAGUCCCGAGAACCCAGCUCUCGAGAACCGGUCUCUCAGACAGGGACCGGUCUCCUAGGGACCUGUCUCGCAGGCAGGGACUGGUUCCCGAACGCGAAAUCCCUUCUGCCUGGUUGUGCAACUCUCGGGGACCGGUCUCCCCGACCUGGGACCGGUCCCUCACUACGAAAAUGGCCCAGGGAGGGCUGUUUCAGGAAAUAGAAAGUUGAGGGGGCUAUCUGCAAAAUAGCCUAUAUGAGGGCUUGGGGACCCCUCUCUUCCUCUUAUUUGCUCUCUCUCCCUUUCACACUCUUUCCCUCUCUCUCUCUAGAAAGGAAAAGAAGGAAAAGAAGAAGGAAAUGAAGAGAAAGGAGAAGAAAGAAGAGGAGAGGAAGAAGAAGAAGUAGGAGAAGAAGAAGACAAAGGUGGAGAUCACCUUCCUCAUCUACUUCUUCUUCUUGGACUAAGCUUUUGAAGGUAAGCUUCUAGCCCUACAAUAGUGGAUUUCUUACAAUAGGGUUUUAUUGUCACGCCCCGGGACCCGGCAUAGGCCCGUCCGGUGCGCGCCCAGACCCGCCAUAUGUCUACACAUAUAAGGCAUCUACACAAAAGCGGAAGAGUAAGGCAUGAGAAGAUCUACAACUAAAGAUAUCAGAGCAAGUAUAUAGCUAGGUUCUAACAUCAGGUAGAAUCAAAAGAAAAUCAUACUACUAAAGCAUAAGGUAAACUGAUACAUCAUAAAUCACAAGAUACAAAAAUAGGGUGGUUUCUACAAUCAGGUACAAAACUCUCACAACCUCUCCAAAAGAAAACAAAAGGGAGGUGGACCACCUAACGCCAAGACCCUCGAUAGCUAACUCGAGGCGAAACCUUUCCCGCGAUCCCGAGCCUCUCCCGGAGUGGAAGGCACUGAAGGAAAACAUAAAACAGGGGGCGUGAGAACUAUAAUUUAUAGUUCCCAGUGGGCAAUUACUGACCUGCACCAAAUCGCACCACUUGGCCCCAAACGAGCAAAUAAUGAUAAUAGAUAAUAUCAACAGUAAUUGAAGCAUGAAAUUAAAAUGCUACUCUACUAUGCCACAAGUAUUCUGAAUGUCAACAUGGAGUACAUCUACUCUACAUGAUCCAAUAUGCCCAAAACUUAAACAAUGUGUCGUGAUGCAACAAGUAAUGCUAUAAAGUGUGAUAUGUAUAUUCCAGAGCCCACUACAUAUCUAGUAUGUACUAUCCUGGCAGCAAGGUGUACUACAAUGCAAUAAGCGAUAAUGUCAAGUACACUAAAUAUCCCAAAAGUCCAACCCUAUGCCAUAGCAUGUCAAGAAAAUCCAACUACUAUAACCUAUCUAGUAGUGAUUGUCAACUUGUUGUUUAGUAUUCUGGUUCAAUCUCAUUCAGGAUCUACACGGGUGUAGUCCGGCUUGUGCCGCCUAAGUGCCAGUGGUAGCUCCAGCAUUCCCACUCUAGGAAUGAGUCUAUCCCUCCAGGCCCCGUAGGCUACUCGAUACCGCACGGGCGAACAUAAGUCGCGUAGGCUAACUCCGGAGUGCCGGCUUGUGGGGAGCGACCCUCACAAGCAUGUGCGUAUGAGCACAAAUGGCAAGCAAGCAUGGUCAAAACCUCAAUAGUCCAAUCGUCAUGUCUCCAAAAUGGAAAUGCAACUCAACAGUCAUCAUGUCUCUAACAUGGAAAUGCACACUAGCAACCUCAGUGUCUAGUCUAUGCCUCAAAUGAAGGUUUAACCGUUCGAUAAUUCCAUGUCAAUGACCUUGGCUUUACUAAGUCCAAGACUCAAGGUGAAGUUCCCACAUUCACUAUGUUUAGUGCCUCUUUAUGACACUUAAACAUUGCUAUAAUCUAAGCUCAAUUCACAUUUUAUGUCUCUUUAUGACGCUAGCUUGUUCUAUCGAUAAUAGAUUAAUACACAUGCUCUCUAGCGUGUUCUCAUAUGGUUACAUGUAAGUUCUUUCCAAUGCGACUAUUAACUUGGCAUAAUUCUCAUAAUAAUAGCAUGCACAUGCAAUUUGCAUAACCAUCAAGUCUAAUGCCGCUUUAUGACAUUAGCUUGCUAAACUCAUAUCUAGUCCAAGCCUAAUGCCGCUUAAUGUCGAUAUGUCCAACCAUGUCACUCAUGCGUUCUAAGUCCAAGAGUGUAAUCUAUAUGCCAUAUGUACCAUAUGCAACAUGAUCUCAAUCAAUUGUAAGAAUGCUAACCGUAGGCCCCUAGCCCAACAUGAAAACUCUCUACUAUAUAGAGGUUCGAAAAUACAUUAUACAUAACGUGCGUAUUUUAAGCAUUCUAAAAUUCACAAUUGAUCUAUCUAGCAUGAAUAUGCAUGCAUUUUCAUUUUACGACAAAUAAAACCAUCAUAAGAGAAUUUUGUUUCAUUUGGUGAGGCCAAACCCACCAAAAUCGAAACCUUCGUUUCGCCGAACGGAGGUGCCCACAAGACUCCUAGUACCCUAGAAGCAUCAAAACGAGGGUUACUCAAACGAAACGAACAACCCAAAACUCAAACAUUAACCAUCAAGGCAAAAAGGGCUAAAAUCUCACCUAAGUGUAGAAAAUCCCUUUUAAGCUCCAAAUGGAAGCUAGAUCCCUUCCAAUGCAACCUAGAUAAAGGUUCUAAUCCAAUCAAUUGGGCUUCAAAAGCCUCUAAUCAAAAAUCCCCAAAACAAACCCUAAAUACCCAUUUCUAGGGUUUGUACACAAAAAUCAUGAUCAAAAGGAAAUUAGUAAGUAACUAACCUCAAGAGAAGCUCCAAACCACCCUAGAAAUCAGCUAGGGUUGAGCUCCUACCCUUCUACAAGCUCCAAACACCAAGCCCAAACUUCUCCCUUGGGGGAAAAGCCACCAAAAUGCAAAAAGAGAGCAAAAGGAGAGUUUAAUCCUCAACAACCCAACAUAAAUCAAAGGGAAACAAAGAGGGAGAAAAGAGAGCUCCCUUACCUUGCUCUCCCUGCCUCCAAGCUCAGGGAACACCAAAGGGGGCGUGGGGUAUGUUAAUUAUUAUUUGGCUACAGAUAGGCAAAAAAACACCCCUGCAGCAAAACUGCAGAAAUUCUGCCUCCUUGUACGGUACACAGGGCUCUUGUACGGUACAAGGCGACGAAAUCGCAAACCCGAGGCUCGGGUCGCGCGUCUGCGGCUCUGUACCGGUACAAGCCCGAUGGCUGUUACGGUAACACCAUCAACCUUGUACGGUACAGGCAAGUCUUGUUCCGCGUACAACCCUGCUGCAGGCUACCGCGAGAGCUGUCCAAAAAUUCCGAUUUUGGAAUUUUUGGUGCCAAGUCCCACUCCAACAUCCUCGGGAUGCGUGCCAGGGGUCGGGACACUAUCAGAACCACAGAAAAAAAUCUGGAAAAGCUCAGGACACAGUCCAAACACUCGAACCUCGCAAUUUUGCAAAGGUCCAGUGUGUUACAUUAUAGUUUAGAAAUGAUUUCGAAUGGAACCUAUUGAGGUCCGAGCUCGAAAUCGAAGCUCGUACGCGGAUUUCUCUAUUGUUGAGACCUAGGGCUCAGAAUUGGGAUUUUGCCAAAUCUAGGGUAUUUGAUCUAAUUUGAUGGGUCGCAAACCUAUGCUUAGGUCUCUGAACGCGUCGGCGAGACAGUUCGUCGAUCCGUCGAGUAGGUGCGAGUUAUCGCCUAAGGAGACCUCGGAGCGUCGUUCUCGCCUGGAAGGCCAACGAAGCGUCGAAACGUCGCGAAUCGCAUUCGAGAAGUCACGCCCAUCGCACGAGGUGGUGGGGAGUGCCAUCGCCGAAGCAGUUCGAACUGUUUCUAUGUCUGAGUACUAUGGUCGAUCAAUUUACAUAUUGUGAUAUAGCAUUAUGGUGUUAAAUGUUAAUUGUACUAUCUUUGCAUGCUAGUGAUAGUUUGAUGUUGGGGAUACAAUGAAUGAGAACCUAGUAUGCAUGAGUGGAAUACUAUGGGAUAGUUCGCCCCAUAUAUGAUGAAUAUGUCAUGUGAAUAACAAACCUAGUGUAUCAAGAACUUGUCAAGAGAACGAGUGGCAUCUAGUUAACAGUGAACCCAGGACGAGUGGCACCUAGUUAAUAUUGAACUUGAGAACUUUAGUGGGAUUGAGACACUAUGAGAUUGAGCAGAAGAACACCUGAUGUUAUAGUGACACCAAUUCUAGUUGGUUAGGGUGUUCCCAGUUUACGAGAUUGGAUCGAGCUCACUUAGCCUGUCUGCACCUGUGGAGGUAGCUCCUCACAGGUAGUGCACUCCGGAGUUUGGCACGCGAGGGGGCCAGUGUAGUGCCCUUGGACCAGUGUAGUGUCCGCAGGCGGUCUCGGGAUAGGUGAAUAGCUAGCCACCUCCCCUAUGAGACUUAGAGACGUGAGACUGUGAGCGAACCUUGCGUUCGCCGAGAGAUUGGGUAAUUUGAUGAAUGAUUUCAUUAUUGAGCAUGGUAUUAUGAUAGCCAGCCUUGUUACUAUGAGUCCCAUGCAUGCAUCAUACUGGAUUGAGGCAUUGAUAGAUCAUAGUUCAUAGUUGCUCCUUACUAUUAAUGCUUUCAGUAUUACAUCUCUAUCUAUCUGCAUAUCUAUCUGUGCCUGUUUAGACCUAGUGGGGAGAUCGGCGGAGUCGGCGACCGAACCCACUGGGAACUAUUCGUAGUUCUCACUCCACCAUGUUGCAGGUCCGAGUUCGAGCGCCCCUGGUGAGGAUCGUGGCAAGGGCGUAGCACCCUAGUGAUAUUAGUAGAGGUUUACUUUCCUUUAUGCAUUAGCUACACCCUAUACCUAUUUUGAGAGUAGAUGAUGUAUAGGGUGAGGAUUUUAGAGUGAUUGUACAUAUACUCUGGAAGAAUGUAAAAGAUGAAAUAAUUGUAUAAAGUUUAAUGAGUUAAUAGUUAAGUAUAUCUCUCUUUAUCACUUGUAUGCUUUACAUGUGUUGCUUGUUCUUGAUUGAUAGGCACUGUUUGUGCUCUCGUGG